RNAcentral lists this microRNA precursor (87 nucleotides) under Vicugna pacos (alpaca). The record is from RNAcentral. Lineage: Eukaryota; Metazoa; Chordata; Mammalia; Artiodactyla; Camelidae.
GGCUACGGCCAUACCACCCUGAACGCGCCCGAUCUCGUCUGAUCUCGGAAGCUAAGCAGGGUCGGGCCUGGUUAGUACUUGGAUGGG